RNAcentral lists this transfer RNA (66 nucleotides) under Exitianus nanus. Its description in RNAcentral is "tRNA-Pro". The record is from RNAcentral. Lineage: Eukaryota; Metazoa; Arthropoda; Insecta; Hemiptera; Cicadellidae.
CAACAAGUAUUUUAAUUAUAAAAUGCUAAUUUUGGGUAUUAGUGAUGUAGAUUUCUACUUUGUUGA